RNAcentral lists this ribosomal RNA (595 nucleotides) under Vibrio sp. AND4. RNAcentral describes it as "bacterial LSU rRNA". It matches the Rfam family "Bacterial large subunit ribosomal RNA", at positions 1 to 645 of the family's 2925-position model. Lineage: Bacteria; Pseudomonadati; Pseudomonadota; Gammaproteobacteria; Vibrionales; Vibrionaceae. The record is from RNAcentral.
AUGGUUAAGUGACUAAGCGUACACGGUGGAUGCCUUGGCAGUCAGAGGCGAUGAAGGACGUAUUAACUUGCGAUAAGCCCAGAUUAGGUAGUAAAAACCGCUUGAGUCUGGGAUUUCCGAAUGGGGAAACCCACGUGCAUAAGCACGUAUCGUUAUGUGAAUACAUAGCAUAACGAGGCGAACCGGGGGAACUGAAACAUCUAAGUACCCCGAGGAAAAGAAAUCAACCGAGAUUCCGAAAGUAGCGGCGAGCGAAAUUGGACUAGCCCUUAAGCUAUUUAUGCGUCAGGUGAAACUUCUGGAAAGUUGUGCGAUACAGGGUGAUAGCCCCGUAACCGGCAACGCAUUUAUAGUGAAAUCGAGUAAGGCGGGACACGUGAUAUCCUGUCUGAAUAUGGGGGGACCAUCCUCCAAGGCUAAAUACUACUGACUGACCGAUAGUGAACCAGUACCGUGAGGGAAAGGCGAAAAGAACCCCUGUGAGGGGAGUGAAAUAGAACCUGAAACCGUGUACGUACAAGCAGUAGGAGCUCACUUGUUGGGUGACUGCGUACCUUUUGUAUAAUGGGUCAGCGACUUAUAUUCAGUGGCAAGG